RNAcentral lists this non-coding RNA (24 nucleotides) under Sclerotinia trifoliorum. Lineage: Eukaryota; Fungi; Ascomycota; Leotiomycetes; Helotiales; Sclerotiniaceae. The record is from RNAcentral.
UUGCCACAUAUAAUUGCUGUAGCC